Molecule: long non-coding RNA, 1559 nt
Organism: Amborella trichopoda
Lineage: Eukaryota; Viridiplantae; Streptophyta; Magnoliopsida; Amborellales; Amborellaceae
Source: RefSeq, a predicted model, not a curated record
CCCGUUUAUUCAAACCUGCUAUUUUUCUUUCUAAUAAAACUUUUCAACUUGGACCAACGCUCACUAACUGGAAUUAAUAUCUAAAUAUUGUCUUUUUAAAUUUUGAAUUCAAAUUGUAAACCUUGAAAACCCCAAAUCUCCUCUAUUCUCAGGUUCUGCCUCUUUCCCAGUUUACUGGAUAUCAAUCCCUCACCUUCUCUCUACAAGGACAAUCCGUUGUCUCUCUACGACCACCAGAGGCGCUUUCUUUGACCAUCCAAGGAUCUUCUAGCUGAGAUCACCUCUCUCUCUCAUUUCUAUUUUUUUCUCUUAUUACAUGUGGGGAGCAACAAGAGGAGCGAUUUACAAAUAGAUCAAUGGACCUAUGAGGAUUGAAGAACUUUCGGCACGUGUAAAUAAAAAAUGGCUCGAACCUUCCCUCCAUCUUAAUUUCAAUUAAAACCGAAAUCUUCUCUUCAUUUCAAUCCCCAUCAAGAUAGCAGGAAAUGAAUCCCCAAUUCAAAUCAGGGAGAAGGUAUGAGGUGUGAACUUGCCCCCAAUAGGCAAUUUGGGUUCAAAUAGUGAAAUUGUGUCACUGGAAUCAGAGUUUGUUUCCUUUUUGGUGGGUGAAUUAAACUGCAGUCCUGAUCUUGAUCUGCAAAAUCGCAAACCUUGAUUACUUGGCAAAAAAUCAGCUAAGUGAACCUACGAUAUCACAAUCUCAUGUGUAUCUAUUUAUUUUUCAUUUCAUUACAAGGUUGUCUUAGUUUCUGCUUACUUCUUUUUUGCUUUAUGUUGAGUUUGGCUUACUUAAACUAAAACGUUUACUCGACAUGGAAUUUGAUACUUGAAUGGUUUCUUGAAACAGUAAAGGGUCCCAAGUUCUGAUGAGCUAUGAUUUUGGGGGUAUAUUUUUUUCUUGAUUUUGUGUCCUCAAUGGUACAGUUCAGCCCCCGUAUGAAAUCAUGUGCUUUCCAGUUAUGCCAAUCUCAGAGAAGCUCUUCUGUGGCCAGUUAACUUGUCUCCCCAACAAAUUCAUUAACUGAUUUUGCGUUACUUGGGUUGUUCGGUGAAGACUCUCAAGAAAUUUAGUUUUCAUGAAGUCAAGGUCAUUGCAACAAUACCCUCAAUGAUACUCUUUAAAUAUUGGUAGAGGAAAUAAUUUCAGCUGCAGUGUGGCUUCAAUGAUUUUAUGUUCUCAAAUGUAAAAUCCAAAUGAAUGUUGCACGAAGUUGAACCAAUGGGAACGACUUUAGCAAGAAGUUGGUCUGCUUAUUCAACUCUUUAGCAGAAGCAACUACAAAGGUUCUAGGCUUGAUAAAACUGAGAAAUCUCUCUUGGGAAUUGGAUCGUUUUGUUGCAAUUUAUUAUUGGGUUUUUUGGUUUAGAUCAAAACCAAUCAAAAUCUGAUGUUGGAAAGAAGCUUUGUACGAAUGGUAGUGGUAGUAGUGUUAGAAUAGUGAUAUUGGGAUGCGAUUAUGUUGCAAACACCAUUUUUGGUAUAUUUGGCCUUUUCCAAGGGGCCUCCAACUAUUGUAACUUUCUGAAAUAGUAAUACAAUCCUUCUUAGCACCCCAACA